GCUCAAACAUAAAUCACUGUUGAUAGGCAGACAUUUCCAAAAGCUUUGGUUCCAUUCAUAUGUUAACGAUUUCGGUGGUGGAGGAAGUAUUUCUCCAAUCAGUUGUUACUUGUUUGGGCAACUUGAUGCUUUGAUACCUACUGGACCUUCAGGGCAACAGCGAAGAAGGAUAGGUUCAUUCUUUCUCAGUAAACUUUUUUUUGAUGUUACCUACAGACGGCAGUGAGCAGCAGAAAAAAUAAAGGUAUGAAGGCUGAUUCUGAUGUCUCAAUAUUGAC
Coffea arabica (coffee) is the source of this 278-nucleotide non-coding RNA. NCBI's taxonomy places the organism in Eukaryota, Viridiplantae, Streptophyta, Magnoliopsida, Gentianales, Rubiaceae. The record is from RefSeq and is a predicted model, not a curated record.